Long non-coding RNA from Octopus bimaculoides (California two-spot octopus), 1537 nucleotides. Lineage: Eukaryota; Metazoa; Mollusca; Cephalopoda; Octopoda; Octopodidae. The record is from RefSeq and is a predicted model, not a curated record.
UAGGCUACUUGGCUAUGCAUUCAUGUUAGGAUGUGUUGCAGAAUAAACUAUGAAGAUGCUGUAGUCUGGCAGCAGUUAUCUACAGUGGAAUAGCCGUUUUUAAACGCCAACUGCUAAAAAGAUAUAUUUGAAUUUGUUAAAAUACAUGACCUAUCGGACUCUCGGACUUCGAAAGAGGACACAUUGUUAGAAUGAGCAUGCCUGGAAUCUCACUCAUUAGAACUGCAGAAUUGUUUGAUAUUUCGACAUGUACAGUCUCGAAAAUCAUGUUGGUAUUCCAAAACCAAAGCAAAAUUCUUCUGACAAGAAUAAUUCUGGAUCGAAAGCAGAAAAAAAAAGACAAAAAAAACACACACACACACACAGAUCGCAGUAUGCUGACACGUAUUUUAUCUGAAACCGAUGAAACUACGACAGUAAAAACGACAGCAAAGCUAAACCAUCUUCUUGCUAAAAAUCUUUCAACCAAAACCAUUCAUCUUGUGCGCCAUAAAGCAGGAUACCAUGAGACGGCUGCAAUGCUAAAUAUUUAUAAGUGGACGAAAUAUAUUUAGACUAUUGGAGGAGGUCAAUGACACAAUUCGACGAUGUAAUUUUCUCUCAUUAUUCGAAACUCCUACUGUCUCCAAGACUGCAAUGUCCUCCUGGCAACGUCCUUCAGGUGUUUUUGAGAAUUGUUUAGACGAAGAGAAUAUGCUGUUACCAUAAACCGUUUCCGUGAAAACCGUGUCUGCUGGAAGAAAAAAAAAAUGGAAGAGGUUAACCUGCCACCGAUUCAUCGACCAGAAUGCUCACAACACAGUCGAUUCCACAAAAGCAUUUACGAGUCAAUGGUAACAGUAAUCCGGACAAUGUUUCUUAUUGUCUUACACACCCACCAUGUCUUUCGUUGUCUUUUUUUUCACAUUUCGUUGUUUUUUUCUUUAAUUGCUUAAUAUAUUCGGGAAGAUGCAUGCUCUAGUGUUUAGUGUGUUGCAUUCACAAUUGCAAGAUCGCGAUUUCGAUCCUAGUAAUGGCUGAGCCUUGAGUUUCGUCUAUAUAUUUUUUCUCUUUGUUGCGUUUCUUUUUUGUGUUCUUCAUUUCACGUUGCUCCAUUUCACCUUGCGACGGACGGGCGUUCCCUUUAGAAGAUAUUUUUGCCUGCCUUCCUAGCCACAAGGCAUCAUUCGAAAGACAGUACAAUACCAGGAAGUGCAAUGUGACAAGUGGCGUAUAACAGCAUUUGAAAUUUGGUCCAUACGCUUAUUUAACUUAACCUUAAUUGUUCUCAUCAGCUGUGCCACAAACACGCUUUGCUAAAUAACGACCAACACAUUUUGGGUGGAAGUAAUUUGUGGCGUUUGAGGAAUCCGUGCAUUUUGCACUUAUCUCUUUGUAAAAAGAAAAUGCGUUUCCUUUCACAUCAGGUGCAAACUUUAAUUACUUUCGUUCUUGCAAUUUCUUGCAAUAGAGAGUCAUGUUGCAGUCAAGUGCCCCAUGUAAUUUUAGUGAGUGUAUCAUUUUAGCAUCUAAUUUUUUUUAUUUAUUUCAGCUAUUG